This is a long non-coding RNA of Saccostrea cuccullata (small rock oyster), 819 nucleotides long. RefSeq lists it as uncharacterized. The transcript is spliced from 2 exons. NCBI's taxonomy places the organism in Eukaryota, Metazoa, Mollusca, Bivalvia, Ostreida, Ostreidae. The record is from RefSeq and is a predicted model, not a curated record.
UGGUGUCCGGUAGCGUGACCAGCCGGAGGUGUGCCACGUUUGCAGUUUCCCCGGCAUGAUUAUACAAAUGGCGAAUACUUUCGGUGAGAUAUAGCACCGUAUAUUAAACGGGUAGCCAUACAACUUGCCAGGAGGAUUAUUGCAGCGUGUUUGUGCAGUUCUAGCCGUGCGUAAGGGGCUUGGAGACGAGUUUUGAUGUAUGGGCAUACUGAGGGUCGUUUGACGAGGUCUGAGGCUUAUUGACGAGUGUGUAUGGAGGGCCACGUGCGUCUUAUCCAAGGUCGACACUGUUAAGGGCGUGGUAGGAUAACUGGAGCGGGAGGCUAAGACCCGGGGCUCUGCGAGUUAGGAACUACUAUUUUGUGGACCACGGAACUUGGUGUGACGUUGACGUUACCUGUAUGGCGAGAGCGCCGUGGUGUAUUUUCUAGGACACAUGUCACUGACCUGUUUUGUGAACCAGAACUUUGAGUAACUUUCAGUAGUAAAUAACAGAACACGUUUACAUUUGAAAAGAUAUUUUAUUUUUAUUUGAAGUUAAUUGAGCUUUUUCGAAAUAUUAAUUGAAAAGACUGAAUUAAGUUGGUGAAUUUUACCUUUUUGAUUUAAAAUCUGAUAAUUAUCGACUCAGCAUUGUAGCAUGUAAUAUUCAACUUUAUUAUUAUGUAAAGUAUCAGAAGUGGUUUAAACUGAGUUAACUGUUCAUAUAUAUUUUCAUUUCCGGUGUGUGAGCUGGUAUGUGAGCGUGAGUGAGAGUAAUUGAAUAUAAUUUGUUUCUGUUUUUUUAUUUGUGUUAAUAAACUUAUUUGUUAUUUCUAA